Molecule: ribosomal RNA, 253 nt
Filed under: uncultured bacterium
Lineage: Bacteria
Description: partial 16S ribosomal RNA
Rfam family: Bacterial small subunit ribosomal RNA
Source: RNAcentral
GACGGAAGGUGCAAGCGUUGCUCGGAAUCACUGGGCGUAAAGGGUGCGUAGGCGGCUUGGUGGGUCUGGUGUGAAAGCCCCGGGCUCAGCCCGGGAAGGGCACUAGAAACUGCCGAGCUGGAGUGCCGGAGGGGAGAGUGGAAUUCCUGGUGUAGCGGUGAAAUGCGCAGAUAUCAGGAAGAACACCAAUGGCGAAAGCAGCUCUCUGGGACGGUACUGACGCUGAGACGCGAAAGCGUGGGGAGCGAACAGG